AGCGAGACCCACGCCCACAGUUGCCAGCGUACUCGUCUGGAGUGACGGGUACACUGUGGGGGACCGCCGCUGCUAAAGCGGAGGAAGGAAUGGGCAACGGUAGGUCAGUAUGCCCCCGAAUAUCCCGGGCUACACGCGAGCUACAAUGGUUGGUACAAUGGGUAUCUACCCCGAAAGGGGGAUGGGAAUCUCCUAAAACCAAUCUUAGUUCGGAUUGAGGGCUGCAACUCGCCCUCAUGAAGCUGGAAUCCGUAGUAAUCGCGUUUCAACAGAACGCGGUGAAUACGUCCCUGCUCCUU
This 299-nucleotide ribosomal RNA is filed under the name uncultured Methanosaeta sp. RNAcentral's name for it is "partial 16S ribosomal RNA". It matches the Rfam family "Archaeal small subunit ribosomal RNA", at positions 1044 to 1338 of the family's 1478-position model. The record is from RNAcentral. Lineage: Archaea; Methanobacteriati; Methanobacteriota; Methanomicrobia; Methanotrichales; Methanotrichaceae.